GGCAGAAUCUGUUAAACUGACAAAGCCCACGUCUCCGGGUCCCUGUCUCGGGGAGUCGGGACUAUUGGGUCACCCCGGGUAGUCGAGACUCUAGACUGAGCUGUCUCGGUCACUCAGGAGGCAGUUGGCAGAGUAUUCGUGGUCAGGGAGGUGACCCGUGGUCAGCAGGGUCAGGCCACCCAGGGACAAAGGGUGCUCCUGCACCGGGCCUUGGAGAAGGACAGAGCGGUGGGGACUUGGGGUCAGCGGGGGAGCCUCCGCGGAUGGGGAGUCACCACCUGCCGGGUUCAAGCCAUUCUUCUGCCUCAGCCUCCCGAGUAGCUGGGACUACAGCCACCCACCACCACGCCUGGCUACUUCUUUGUAUUUUAGUAGAAACAGGGUUUUACCGUGUUGGUCAAGAUGGUCUCGAUCUCCUGACCUCGUAACCUGCCCGCCUUGGCCUCCCGAAGUGCUGGGAUUACAGCAAUCAGCCAUGACUGCCUUUGCACUGUCCAUGCUCUCAGCCCACCACCUCCUCCCCCUGCCAUUGCAGUGGCUAACACUGGAGACGAAGACCAAGACACCACAGCCUUUCUCCAGUACCUCUCAAAUCAGCACAGACAAGGACAAAGGCCUCAAUCCACAACUGCUGAAGAUGGACCCUGGCCACAUGGGAUGGUCAGACACGCCUGCCCAGCUAUCUGCAGGCGAAGAGGCUCAGAAGAGGUUUAGGGGCCUGAAGGACAUCUUGCUUCCAUGUCCAUAUGAGCAGGCUAUUUCUGCUCCAUGAGUCAAUUUUGCCAUAUAAAAUACUUAAUUUCAGCCAUUCCAGGGUGCUAUAGGAUGCACAGCUUCCCAUCAGCCCACCUGAACUCCAGCCAUGCCAUUUUAAUACCAGGAAUAAGGUCACCUGCUUUCCUGCCCCUUAGGAGGCCGGAGCCGUGGAAGCAAAAUGGCACUUCUGUUUACCUGUUAUAUUAUUUUUUUGUCAUCCUUAUAUGUUUGAAAAAUGCAAUUAUAUGAAAAAAGUUUAGUAAUUACAGACAUAACAGCAGAAAGUCCUCGGAACCAAGCUUAUUCUCAUGGCCGAUUCUGCUCCACCUGGGACUCUGCUGUGCUGCGGGCAUCCUGUGGUCAGAAUCGCAGAGGGGCCAUCAGGGAGGACCUUCCCAGAGGAUGGACCUCACGUGACUGCUGCGUGGGCAAGUGGCACUGGCCACUCUGCCUGGAGAGAGGAGUAAAUGCAGGGCUGGCCAGGCGACCUGCACACUCUGCUACCGGCCUUGUCCAUCUUUAGCCUCUAAUUUGAAAAUGAGGAUCACACAGACCAAGAGUAUCUUUGAGGGUUAGUACAGACCACAGAAAUGCCCUGGGCCUUUCACUCUCUCCUUUUGCAAAUUCCCAUGUGUGGAAAUGCCGUUUGGAUAAUGAGGGAGCCUGAAGGAGGUGGACACAUGAGCAGCCCCGACAGGCCUGGCUCCAUCCUCUGAAAAUGGGGCCCCGUGCCCGGCGUGUGGCCUUACUGGUUCAGUCUUCUUUACAGUGGUAGGUUUUGAGUGCCCAGAUGCCCAGUGCCUCCUACCCGGAACAGGACAGGACCAGGCUGUCCCCUGGAAGAAUCCCAUGCACACUUGGCUAUUCAGGGAGUUUCCACCCAGCCGAGCUCGCCUCUGUGGCUACCCUGGUCUUGCUGCUCAUAUCUGCCAGGAAAGGCCUGGACUUGGAGAGAAACCUGGGAUUUGGAUUCAGUCCUUGCCAGCCUGGCUGGUUCAUAUCCUUACCUCUGUCUGUGGAAGCCUAUGUUCCUGAGCAGCGAGUCAGAGGGGGCAUCUGAACGCAGAGCAGGGAGCUUCAGAUGGGAAGAAGUCAGAGGAACCAGAAUGUAUCAGACGAUGUGGAGUUGGGUGCCUGAGCUCAAAGCAAGCUGGGCCUUGGGCUGGCUGUGUGAUCUUGGGCAAGUUCGACCAGCUUCUUUGUGCCUCUUUUCUCUCCUUAAUAAGAUAAAUGUCUUCACUAGUA
This is a long non-coding RNA of Homo sapiens (human), 2001 nucleotides long. Ensembl annotates it as long intergenic non-protein coding RNA 654. NCBI's taxonomy places the organism in Eukaryota, Metazoa, Chordata, Mammalia, Primates, Hominidae. The record is from Ensembl.